UACGUAGGGUGCGAGCGUUAAUCGGAAUUACUGGGCGUAAAGCGUGCGCAGGCGGUUUUGUAAGCCAGAUGUGAAAUCCCCGGGCUUAACCUGGGAAUGGCAUUUGGGACUGCAAGGCUUGAGUGCGGCAGAGGAGACUGGAAUUCCUGGUGUAGCAGUGAAAUGCGUAGAUAUCGGGAGGAACACCAGUGGCGAAGGCGACUACCUGGCCUGUUCUUGACGCUGAGGCGCGAAAGCUAGGGGAGCAAACGGG
RNAcentral lists this ribosomal RNA (253 nucleotides) under uncultured bacterium. RNAcentral's name for it is "partial 16S ribosomal RNA". It matches the Rfam family "Bacterial small subunit ribosomal RNA", at positions 524 to 776 of the family's 1533-position model. The record is from RNAcentral.